ACCCAAGUGGCGAAAUUGGUAAACGCGAUGGAUUCAAAAUCCUUUACUAUAUUAAAGUUUAUCGGUUCGAAUCCGAUCUUGGGUA
Molecule: transfer RNA, 85 nt
Filed under: Candidatus Nasuia deltocephalincola
Lineage: Bacteria; Pseudomonadati; Pseudomonadota; Betaproteobacteria
Description: Candidatus Nasuia deltocephalinicola tRNA-Leu
Rfam family: tRNA
About the family: Transfer RNA (tRNA) molecules are approximately 80 nucleotides in length. Their secondary structure includes four short double-helical elements and three loops (D, anti-codon, and T loops).
Source: RNAcentral